This 22-nucleotide non-coding RNA is filed under the name Arabidopsis thaliana (thale cress). The record is from RNAcentral. Lineage: Eukaryota; Viridiplantae; Streptophyta; Magnoliopsida; Brassicales; Brassicaceae.
CUCAAAGCCAUAAUCCACUUCA